Molecule: long non-coding RNA, 4367 nt
Filed under: Gossypium barbadense (sea-island cotton)
Lineage: Eukaryota; Viridiplantae; Streptophyta; Magnoliopsida; Malvales; Malvaceae
Description: long non-coding RNA (GBAR_LNC015024)
Source: RNAcentral
GAAAACUGAGGUUUCCUACUACUAGCAGUUGUAAUCAAUAAGGUAAAGAUAAUUAAAACUCAAAACCAAAGUUCAAAUGUUCAAUUACAACCCAAAAACUUAGCCAGUAAAAAUAGAACAGAAAUAAAACCAAUUAUCGUAAAUAUGGAUUAAAAACCAUGAAAGUCUAAAACCGUGGUCACCGUCAAGUCCUCCUCUGCAUCGAUCCGUCUAGAUCUGGGGAUUACCUGUGCACAUUUAAACAAAAUGGGUGAGUUUACGAAAACUCAGUGUGUAAUGCCACAGAAAACAAACAAUAGCAAAUCAUAGUGCAUAGUUAAAACAGUCCUAGGCCUAAGCCCUUUUUCAGUAUCAGUAACAAUUUGGGCCUUAGCCCAUCUCAGUACAGUAUCAAAUAUGCAGUAGGGUCUUAGCCAAUCACAGUAUCAGUAACAGUCAUACAGUAUUCAGUAACAAAGUCCUACCCAACCAGCCUCUACACACCAUCUCCGUCCAACCCUACACUCCAUGUGGGGAUCAAAUCAACCCACCUAUCCCUACACUGCAGGUAGUACCGAAUGCGGCACAAAACAGUAAUUUGUAGUUGAGUUGCCAAUAUGUUAGGCUUAAGAGCCUUUCAGUACACUUCCUCCCAAUAUAAUUAACCCAACCCCAUGCAAUGCAACAUAAAAGUCAUGACAGGCUAUCUCAGGACAUCAGUACAUAUAACCAGUUCAGUAUACAAGCAUACUAUCACCAUGCUCAACACAUAUAUAAAUCAAACAGUCAGUUUGUAUAAUUAGGGGUCUAAGUGUUGCUUACUCACCCUACAGUAGGUUCACAGUCGACUUGGACGACCCAUGCAACCUCAGUAACCAAUUCAGUGAAAAUGGGUCCACACGCCCAUGUGGUCUGCCCGUGUGGCCCAUUCAGCCCAAAUUGGCCUUGGCCGCGUGGUCCAUUUUUAAUGUAACCCGUGCUAGCUAAAUAUCCAUAUAUGUUUUCACUUUUUACUUAUAUGUUCCUUCAAAGCUAUCUACUUGAGUCACUGUUACUAAAUUAUUUAUAUCUUGAGCUACAGAAUUCUGAAUUAAGAUCUAUUUGAUGUCUUUGAAACUAGACUCAAAUAAAUUUCUACCAUAAAAUUUUUAGAAUUUUUGGUUCAGCCAAUAAGUACAGUAAAAUCUUCAAUCUUACCCAUGUUCUGCUGUCUGACAGCUUCGACCUUUCUUUGCUAAAAAUUAAUUAUCUCUUAGUACAAAAUUUCAAUGAUAUUGCCAUUUGUUUCUAUUGAAAAUAUACUUAUUAAUAAUUUAAACAUGUAAAUUUUAACCCCUAAUUAUUUUUCUCCAAUUUUUGAUGAUUUUCCAAAGUUAGAAAAGGGGAACCCGAAUUCAUUCUAACCUUAUCUCACAAAACUUAUUAUAUCUCACGAUUUACAAUUUCAUUACUUACACAGUUUCUUCUAUGAGAAACUAGACUCAAUAAGAUUUAAUUUCAUAUUCUUUUCAUCCUCUAAUUCGAUUUCCACAAUUUAUGGUGAUUUUUCAAAUUUAGUCUACUACUGUUGUGCAAACAGCAAGAAAUUUCGGCUUUUCGUCGAAUCUCGUUUUCUGCGUUUUGGGUACACACCUCAUUUCCUUUGAUGCUAAAACAUUCUCCAAGCACUCCAGAUCCUAUAAUUGAACAAAUAACACUAAUUUAAUCUCACAUAAUGUGAUCCCAAAUUGAACUCGUAUCGAGGUUUUAACCCAUAAGCGACUAAACCUUACCUUCAACCGAUGAACAGUAAUUCCCACAUAAACUAAGACUCCGAUUGGUGAUUAUGAUCCCUUGAAUCCUCCCCGAACGAUUGCAGACAAACGUGGAGCAACAUGAGGCAGAGUGGGAAAAGAAAAAUCAAGAAGAUGAAGGGUGAAAGAAAGCAGAAAUUCGGCAGCAAUGAAAAGAAAAACGGCAAGAGGGUAGAGGGAUUUUAGGCGAAGUAAAAAAAAGAAAAAAAUAUUUGAUAAUCACCCUAAUUCCUUAUUUCUCUCCAUCAAACUCCCCACUAAAUCCACUACUCAAAUUUUUAGUCCAUCUUAAACUCUCCUGGACGCACGAGCAAAAAUAAUGCCCACGCCAAGAUUUGAACACAGGUCCUCCUUCACACCAACAUUCCACUUAUCCACCAGACCAAUAGGCCCAUUCUGUUAAUUAUUUUCCAAAUUUUAAUUAAAAUCCUACUGACCAAAGAUAAGGAUUAUUCAAAAAAAUACCAUAAUUUUCCCAAGUCUUGGCUUGAACUUAGGACCUCCCAAACAUACCCGGAACACAUAACCACUAAAGCAGCAGACAAAUAUUUUGUGUCACACAUUCACAAUACCCAAAAUUAAAAUUUUAGGGCAUUACAAUAUUAAAAAGAAAAGUGUAAUUUAUUUGUAAUGUUGUUUGAAAACAUUUAAGAAAUAGAAGAUCUUAAAUUAUAAUUAUAAAAAUGAUUUUUAUAAAGAAGCUCGCAGUAGAUUUUCAUAAAAAUUAUUUGGAAAAUUUACAAAUUUUUAUUUCAUCUAAAAUUUAACAAAACAUGAUUAAUUUAGAAAAAUGAAAUUAUCAAAAAUAUUUAAAAUCCCAUAAUUUUGCAUGCAUGUAUAAUAGUUUUAAUGUCAUAAAAAUAUAAAUCACAAACCAAAAAUAAAGGUAAAGUCCAAAAGUCCACAAAAUUACAAUCCAAAAUCUAAAUAGUUAAAAAUCAAAUAAAUUUUCAUGAUGUAAAAUUUUCUGAGAGGCUCCUCCAAGUGUUGAAUCCAAGUCCUAUGUUUGAGUGUUACUUGAGAGGUUGAAACACUAACGGGGUGAGCUUUUUAAGCCCAGUGUGAGAUUAACAUAAACUCAUUCACAAUAUAAAACAUAUAUGAUACAAAUUCAUAAAAUCACAUAUCUCAAUAUUUCAUAAGUAUAUCAUGCAUGAUAAUGUCAAUGCAUAAUUUGUAAAACAAUGAAGAUUUUAAGAAAAUGAUCCUACCAAUCACCGCUACACACCAUAAUCAAGUUUUCCUAUAAUUCGUCCAACCAACACACCAAUUGUGAACAAUGUCAUAGUAGCGUAGAUAAAAUACCAUAUAAAUAAAAUAGUGGACAAGCCAUCAGAGUCACAGAUAAACUGCCAUAUAAUCAAAUCGUGAACAGUGUCACAUUAAUGCAGAUAAACUGCCAUAUACUUCGAGCUUUCACAUAUACCACCCCAUGCAUGUGAUAUGGCCAAAACACUCGAAAUCAUGUAGGCAUGUUUAACAUGCAAAUCACAUACGUACUCAAGGUACCAAAACUUCACACUUAUCUUCAUAUGAAUAUCACAUAUGCCAUAUAAUCACAUAACCUAAGAAUAAGAUGUAUAUAUUUUUCACAUUAUUAGCAAACAUCAAUAUCACACAACAUACUUUUCACAAGAAUACGGUUUUGAAAAAAUACUUACUUGAUAAAAAUCCAUAAGGAUGACUUAUCUCACUUUAUAGAUACAUAUAGUAUCCCCAUCAAACAACAUUAUUUUAACAACAGUAUUUUUUAUCGAUUUAAUAAUAGUCUUAAUUUAUUUAAUGUUAAAACCCACACUUGAUCAUAAAUCUGAUGUGAAAUAAAUCUCUCAAAACACCCACUUGUGGUUCUACAAUUAGAUUACCCUUAAAAGAUAUCUCGGAUUAGCAAUUAAAACCUAACGAUUAACGGGUUUUCGGGUUGGUAUCGAUCAGCCCUUUUACACACAAGAUAUAUGAAACAUUAAUUAUUGAAGAAAUAAAUCACCAAGGCCCCCUAAAGUAAUCGACCAAUAGAAGAAAAAUAUAAAUGAGAAAAUAUUUAUACACAUCCUUUAUACUUACUCUCACACAAAUGGAACGGAGGACCAACGAAUCAAAUGGGUCACAAAUUGGAGGAGAAGGAAUGAUCUAAGAGGAGGAUUUAUUCAAAGACAAACCUAAGGAAUAAAUAAAGUUUCAAAUUAGGAUUUAAAUGAAAUGAUUAAAGAAGGAUUUUGAUUAUUAAAAUAAAAAUAAUGAACAUUCAAAAUAAGAAAAGAGAAAGGGAAAUGAUAUUCGCCGUCGACGGUGGUGCUACGGCGAUGACGGGGGCAACGAUCUAGCAAUAGAGGCAGCGGUUCGACGGAGGAGAAGGAAUGAACAAUGAUUCAGUCACUUUCUUAAUGGAGAAUAGAAUAGAAAGACAUAAAAGGAAAAAAAAUAAAUGAAUUAAUGGUGGUGCAUAGUGGUCGACACAGUGGAAGAGGGUAAUGUUCAGAGAGAAAAAUGAUAGGGGAGAGGUGAUGGGCAGUAGUUCGAUAGUGAAGUAUUGGUGGUGCACAACUAAGAAUGGUGGAGGAAAAAGUGAAAGAAAAUAAAUAGGGGAAGGUUAAG